RNAcentral lists this ribosomal RNA (71 nucleotides) under Glaesserella parasuis HPS9. Its description in RNAcentral is "partial 16S ribosomal RNA". It matches the Rfam family "Bacterial small subunit ribosomal RNA", at positions 1 to 69 of the family's 1533-position model. Lineage: Bacteria; Pseudomonadati; Pseudomonadota; Gammaproteobacteria; Pasteurellales; Pasteurellaceae. The record is from RNAcentral.
UUAAAUUGAAGAGUUUGAUCAUGGCUCAGAUUGAACGCUGGCGGCAGGCUUAACACAUGCAAGUCGAACGG